Molecule: ribosomal RNA, 374 nt
Filed under: uncultured bacterium
Lineage: Bacteria
Description: bacterial SSU rRNA
Rfam family: Bacterial small subunit ribosomal RNA
Source: RNAcentral
AACGAACGCUGGCGGCAGGCCUAACACAUGCAAGUCGAGCGAACCCUUCGGGGUUAGCGGCGGACGGGUUAGUAACGCGUGGGAAUAUACCCUUUGGUACGGAAUAGCCUCGGGAAACUGAGAGUAAUACCGUAUGUGCCCUUCGGGGGAAAGAUUUAUCGCCAAAGGAUUAGCCCGCGUUGGAUUAGGUAGUUGGUGGGGUAAUGGCCUACCAAGCCUACGAUCCAUAGCUGGUUUGAGAGGAUGAUCAGCAACACUGGGACUGAGACACGGCCCAGACUCCUACGGGAGGCAGCAGUGGGGAAUCUUAGACAAUGGGCGCAAGCCUGAUCUAGCCAUGCCGCGUGGACGAUGAAGGCCUUAGGGUUGUAAAG